GACAGUCUACCUGUGGCCGGUGUUACAGACUCGGUUUGCGCUGACUCUGUUGUGUAUGAGUGUGUGUGUGUAUUUUCGGUUCCUUCAACGUGCAGGUAUUUCCUGGCCUUAAAACGCAGCUACCGCAGGACAGCACGCUGUAGAUUUCCAUAGUUCCCCUGUAAUACUGACCUCCUCCAGAAUGGUGGAGAGGCAGGCAGGCCCGAAUAUGUCACGCCAGGGCUAAACCCAAAAAUAUUUUAGUGGGUGGGCACAGGACCUUUUUUGUCUUUUUUUCUCCUUUACUUAGCCAUCGCAUAUAAGAUAUCAUGCGUGUAUGCUGUAGUACACUUAUUUCUUCAUCUUUAUGUCUAAUUUAUAAAUUGUUUGUACAUAAUGAAAAUAUAAUUAAAUAAGACACUAUUUAUGUCACAUAUUAGUAAAUAUAUUUAUUGAUUAUUAUAUCUUUAGCAACAUCAACAAACAGUUUACCAAAUUCUGUCACUCUCAAGAAGUAGUGUUUCAGUGAUGUUUAGAUCAUCCGCUACAGAACUUUUGGGCGGAAUUAAAUGAUUGGGGAGAGGGGACAAUUUGUUUUUGGAGGUUUGUAGGUCGGUGGUCGCCCACCUAGUUAACUCGUUACCGUGAGGUCUGUUUGAAUCUGCCUUGACAGCCGGUGAGGAGGAGGAGGAGGAGGAGGAUGCUAUAAAUGCGAAAUCUACGCACAUGCUAUCUGAGGUCGCUUUUGUGCAGGAAUGAUGAAGAAAUUGAGUGUCAUUCAAAUGAACGAUUAACGAGUAAUUAUGAGAGCGCAAAAAUAACUAAGAUAUCUGAAUGCUGUACAUAACUUCGAAAGGGAAAAUAUUUUUUUUACCUAUUAAUAUGACGCAAAGACGAUCUUUUCUAUGAUAAACCUCGUCAUUGUUUGAAGAAAUCGGUUUUAGUGUCAUUUUUGCUGUAAACAUGACCGUCACUAGAUUCGCUAUGCAUAGUUAAUAUGUCAAUGUACUUAUGAAUAUGGAGGUAGGAAUAGGCUAACAGACUUACACAGGACCGGUCUGAACUUUUUGACCACCUGAAGCCUAACUAGGUCAGCUGACGUCGAGGUUAAUUGCUAUUCAACAUUCAUAGCAGGAGUCGACGACUGAACUCGGUUACGGAAUUGACGAAGACUGAAAAGACUGGAGAGAGACCGUUCGAGACAGCUCAAAGAGACUUGGGAAAUGCCACAUAAUAUGAGAAGAUCUUCAUUCGUCUUCUUACUAUCUAUCUAUCUAUCUACGCAGACGCGCAGGCUCAACAGAACCGAGAAAGAAGUUAGGUCACACUGGCAGGACUGAGCCUUAACUCAACCCUGGCGUUGAAUAUGAUCACGGUCUAGAUACUGGACCGUGAAUAUGAUGUACUACGCUGUGGCUACAGUUACGGCAGCCGUAACGCGACUUUCCAAGGCUGUGGUGACGACAGUUUCCCCACUUCCUGGAAUGGCUGUCCAUCCAAAUAACUGUCAAAGGUCAAAACAAGAUCAUCUUCAAUUAAACAACCAUCAGACCUUACCAUAUCUUUUUGAUGAGCAGCACCUUCUAUCCCCAAAUUCGAGGAAGGGGGACCGGCACCAUACAUGGUGCAUAAACCAGGUAACAGUUAUACCGAUAAUCAAGUGUCCACAACAAUCGGUAGAGACUAAGAAAACACGUCUUGUCCCUUUCAUGGUCUGGUGAAGACCCACUGCUCCCCUGAUUGUGUCGGCAUGCGGGCUGGAAAACCGUCAUGCAUGGAACGCUGCGAUUAGGUGAAGAUUCCCCAUUCCUCUUUCGUGAGAGAAAUAAUGAAAUUUCAUUUCAUCCUAACUAUUUCAGCUUUAUAAUUUGGUCUGCCAUUGCCUGGAAUACUACUGCCCUCAUGUCUGGAAAAGUUGCUCUACAUAAAGGCCUGUUUCCUCUUGACACUUGAAUUCUCAUCAGGCAGCUUGAUUAAUGAUCACUUGCCUAUUGACAUUCGUACUCAAUCUCUUGUCAAUGCAAGGAGCCAGUAUCUCUCUCUCUCUCUCUCUCUCUCUCUCUAUCAGGAAUUCGCACAUUUCUCCAUAUCAUUUUCUGCUGAAGUUGCUUCAUCGAAAAGUUGAGGACGCGGGGUGGGGGGGAGGAAGAGAGAGAGAGAGAGAGAGAGAGAGAGUCAGUCAUUCAAUACUUUACAUAUACAAUCAGUCACCGAAUAAGAUCUUGAGUUUUUAUUCUUAAAAACAGUUUAGUUUUGUUUUAUAGUUAAUUCAAUGGACACAGGUCAGGGCUUCAUAUUCAUAGUGCACAGUCGGAUGUCAUGUCAAUACGGUGUUCAGAAGUACUGUGGAUCAUUGAGAAACAGUAGUACCAAGAUGGAAUAACAUAAGGUGAGAUCGUCGGUCGCUCGGUUCCCGCACUGUGACGUCACAGGUGCGCGUCGACUGGGCAGUGCACUUAAUGAUUACGUAUGUUUUGACAGUAAUUUGUUGCUAUGCUGGUGUUCACAAUUUCCAUACAGGAAAAUACUCUCUCUCUCUCUCUCUCUCCCCCCCCCUCUCUCUCUCUCUCUCUCUCUCUCUCUCUCUCUCUCUCUCUCUCUCUCUAUCACUUGAAACACAGUUAUAUCAAGAUAUUUAAGACCUUACCAUACAGAAUAUAAUCUUGUUGGAAUACAAAUAACGAAAGUAACGAGGGUGAAUGAAUAUGAAAAAAAAAACUUUCCAGACUUUUAUUGAACUAGCGUAUUGUUCUUUUAUUUACCAAAAAGUACUGAAGAAUUUUUUUCAUUUUCUUUACACCUUUUUUAAAGAAAUUCUGACUUCCUUUCAGCAUUUAAUAUCUUCAUCCCAAAAUGUAUUUUGCACCUAAUAAAGAACUUCAUUACUUCCUCUGGAGCAUCAAUGUUUAAUUCCCUGAAAAUAUUAGCUAAUUUCGUAAUCCCAUCAACGCCUGGUUUCAACUGUUCCCCAUGAAAAGAUUUAAAGAGUUAUUCCAUUUCCUUUCAAUUACUGACAAAUUGAGGACUGGGCCUAAACAGCACUUUCCUCCUUAUUUUGGAGAUCUAGUCGUUGUUUAGGCCUUCAAUAUCUGGGAAUCCUAAGGAAGGAUAUUUAUUUCUGUACUUAUGAGCUAUAUAACCUCCCAGAUAAUUUAAGGCUUCAAUUUCUAUACCAUAUUGAGACUCUACUCCAAGAUCUACAAAAUCCUCUUCCUCCAGCUCAUUAAGUAGACUUUCCUGAGGAAUUCUCAUCAAGAGAUGAGCAGAGAUACAUAAUUCAGAGUCUAAGUCAACACGACUGGAGUCACUUUCUUCAGAGGUUUUGGAAACCCAAGACUUACCUGGUUCCAUAACACUAGUAUUGCUCAUACAUGGCAUGUUAUCAUCAUUGGGAGCGACACUAUGACCGUGAUUGCUUAAAAUGUUGUUCUUACCUAACAAGAAAUUCCUCAGUCUACACUUGAACUCAGUCUAUACUCUGACCCCACGAUAUCCUUUAGUGGGGUUCUUAAGA
This is a long non-coding RNA of Macrobrachium nipponense, 3493 nucleotides long. RefSeq lists it as uncharacterized. The transcript is spliced from 4 exons. The record is from RefSeq and is a predicted model, not a curated record. Lineage: Eukaryota; Metazoa; Arthropoda; Malacostraca; Decapoda; Palaemonidae.